AUGAUGGCGGUGAAGUUGUUGGUGAAGAUUGUGGUGAUGAUGAUGGCCCCCGGUGGCACUCCGGUGCCACCAGAAGCGAGGGGGAGAGAGCCCCCCUCCUUCUUCCUCUUCCUUGACCUCCUCCCUAGAUGGGAGAAGGGUUUCCCCUCUGGUCCUUGGUCUCCAUGGCGUGGGAGGGAUGAGAGCCCCUCCGAGAUUGGAUCUGUCUCUUUGUCUCUCUCUGUUUCUGCGUUCUCUGAUUCUACCCUUUCACCGUUUCUUAUAUUCCCGGAGAUCCUUAACUCCGAUUGGGCUGAAAUUUUAACAUGA
This 309-nucleotide ribosomal RNA is filed under the name Triticum aestivum (bread wheat). RNAcentral's name for it is "partial small subunit ribosomal RNA". Lineage: Eukaryota; Viridiplantae; Streptophyta; Magnoliopsida; Poales; Poaceae. The record is from RNAcentral.